Molecule: long non-coding RNA, 1154 nt
Organism: Schistocerca cancellata (South American locust)
Lineage: Eukaryota; Metazoa; Arthropoda; Insecta; Orthoptera; Acrididae
Exons: 2
Source: RefSeq, a predicted model, not a curated record
CAAUUAAUGGGAGUAUACUGGACUGUUCCAAUAGUAGUUUCAAGUUACUCUGCACAAUAGUAGGUGUGUCGGCUUCCUUGUCGCUCAUUUCACGCUUUUCUGUGAGUUGUUACCGUUCACUUACGGAAUAACGUAAACAAAAACACUCAAGACGGCGAACACGCAGCUACGCCUGUAGCAGAACACCGACGAGUAACUCGACUCUCGUAAUUCCUUUACAGUGGUGCCAACUGCAACACUCCCAGGGUUUUUUAGCCAAACGACGUAUUCACAUUAUCGGUCUGUAACAUGCCAAAUAGUUCCUCUUGUUUCCCACGUGAUGUGGCUUUCAGGCCUAUUUAGGUCCAUGCAGUUGAAUACAAAUUUUAAUUAAAUAAUUUUGUAAUAGAACCCAGUACAAAAAUAUUGCGCCAAACGUUUCUUCUGUAGUGAUCUUGUAAUGGUUUUACUUCGUCGAAAAUAGAAAUAUCGGAGGACAUUUGCAUUAGUUUACUCUACAAAAUUAACACGUUAACGAAGAAAAAGGCAAAUUAUUAUGUUGUAUUGACAAAUCUGUUUGUGACUUACUACCGCAGUUAGUGCGCACAGUCAUUAAUGAGAAAUGUUACAGGUUACGGCAUCAGAAAAUGCUAAUCUAAAAUUCACACGCUGCAAGAACAGCAGGGGCGUAUGCGUGAUUAAAAGAAAAGCUACUGCUGUGUCAUCCAAACAAGAAACAGCCAGGGGAAAAGCACCACAGGCACAAAGAUGUGAGCGGGUGCCAGUGCCAUAGAGACUCACCACUUCUGUGAGUUCUGUCAUUGCCACAGGCAGCGCUGAGGAUGAAGACAGGCGGCGCUGAGGAUGAAGGUUUCGACUUUGCCUUGGCCAAUUACUGGCAGAGUACAAUUUGCCAAUGACCAUAUGACAACGGACAGAAGCCUAACUUGGAAGAUAGAAGCACAGCUUUGGCCCACUCGGUUAUAGACCAGCGUCCGGGGCUGACUUAGACAGGGAAUGUCAUUUGUUGUUAAUUGCAUUUCCUAUGUACCGCAAAGUUUACCUACAAUUAUUUGCACUUAGCCAUUGAGGGUCAUUUUGUGUUGUAUUACAGGCAGUGUUGCAGACUUAAUUAUUCAACAAGUCACAAAGAUAAAUAAAGUUUUUAACUCAUU